This 478-nucleotide ribosomal RNA is filed under the name uncultured bacterium. RNAcentral describes it as "bacterial SSU rRNA". It matches the Rfam family "Bacterial small subunit ribosomal RNA", at positions 58 to 515 of the family's 1533-position model. The record is from RNAcentral.
CAAGUCGAGCGGAAACGAGUUAACUGAACCUUCGGGGAACGUUAACGGCGUCGAGCGGCGGACGGGAGAGUAAUGCCUGGGAAAUUGCCCUGAUGUGGGGGAUAACCAUUGGAAACGAUGGCUAAUACCGCAUAAUAGCUUCGGCUCAAAGAGGGGGACCUUCGGGCCUUUCGCGUCAGGAUAUGCCCAGGUGGGAUUAGCUAGUUGGUGAGGUAAUGGCUCACCAAGGCGACGAUCCCUAGCUGGUCUGAGAGGAUGAUCAGCCACACUGGAACUGAGACACGGUCCAGACUCCUACGGGAGGCAGCAGUGGGGAAUAUUGCACAAUGGGCGCAAGCCUGAUGCAGCCAUGCCGCGUGUAUGAAGAAGGCCUUCGGGUUGUAAAGUACUUUCAGCAGUGAGGAAGGCGGAGUCGUUAAUAGCGGCCUCGUUUGACGUUAGCUGCAGAAGAAGCACCGGCUAACUCCGUGCCAGCAGC